GCCCGUGUGGUGUAGUGGUAGCACGCAUUCCACUUGAGACGUCCCUCUCUUUUCGCAUAUGAGUUGGUAAUCGUGGUUUGAGGUCCCUUGUUCAACUCGUGGGUACGGGCG
This is a non-coding RNA of Dactylonectria macrodidyma, 111 nucleotides long. NCBI's taxonomy places the organism in Eukaryota, Fungi, Ascomycota, Sordariomycetes, Hypocreales, Nectriaceae. The record is from the annotation of a GenBank genome assembly.